AUCGAACGCUGGCGGCAUGCCUCACACAUGCAAGUCGAGCGAGCGGCGGACGGGUGAGUAAUGUAUCGGGAUCUGCCCGAUAGCCGGGGUUAACUAAUGGAAACGGUGGCUAAUACCGCAUACUAUCGGACGCACCCAUAUGGGAUUAGCUAGUAGGUGGGUUAAAGGCUCACCUAGGCGACGAUCUCUAGCUGGUCUGAGAGGAUGAUCAGCCACACUGGGACUGAGACACGGCCCAGACUCCUACGGGAGGCAGCAGUGGGGAAUAUUGGACAAUGGGCGAAAGCCUGAUGGAGCCAUGCCGCGUGUAUGAAGAAGGCCUUCGUGUUGUAAAGUACUUUCAGCGGGGAGGCGUUAGCCGCAGAAGAAGCACCGGCUAACUACGUGCCAGCAGCCGCGGUAAUAC
RNAcentral lists this ribosomal RNA (406 nucleotides) under uncultured bacterium. RNAcentral describes it as "partial 16S ribosomal RNA". It matches the Rfam family "Bacterial small subunit ribosomal RNA", at positions 30 to 526 of the family's 1533-position model. The record is from RNAcentral.